CUCAGAGAGUAAUGUCCAGCUAUCUUCUUUCCACCCCAGCCCACCGAAACCUAACAAGAUAAUUUUGGAGAGAUCAUUGAACUGCUGUGAAAUUGUUUCCUUACAUAGAAAAGAAAAAAAAAAUAUUCCACGCUAUUUCUGGCCACAAGAGUUUGGAAAGAAGCAAAUGAAAUGGUAAGUAUGAAUGUUAUAUCUAUAUGGUAAGGUCCAAUAUAAAUAUAAAUGUCUAGUAUACUUAUGUGCAAAAAACCAUAAAAGUUCUUGCUCUUUGGUUACUGGAUAUGAAUAUUUUUACAAAUACAUCUGUAUUUGUGUUUAUUCAUUCUAUUAUAAAAUGGAAUAAAUCUAUAUGAUAUUGACUAAGCACUUCACUGAUGUAUUCACACAAAGUGAAGGGUUUAAAAUCUUACUUUUCUAAAAAGUGGGAUUUCCUGAAUAGUAGAAAGAGUCUACUGAAUCAUGAAUCUUAUCACAUUAUUACCAAGUAGAAAAGUAAGUUUUCCUCAGAGCAGUUAUUCCCCAAGGCACUUUUUUAAUAUGAAUAUGUAAAAGGUAAAUGUAAAAAUUCUUAUUAUCAGCCCCCCCCCAAAUAAACUUACUACCUAUUAUUUAAUUCGUAUUCCUCACUUACCUCACCCCCUAACACACAUUAUGGAAUUGCCUAAUCUGAACAAUUCAUACACACACAAUCAUACAAUGGGUGGUCUUUCAGGACUGAAUUCUUAGACUUAGCAUAACAUUUAUUAGUUUCACCCAUAUUAAAAGAUGUAUCAGUCUUUCAGCCUUUAUUGCUAAAUAACAGUUUGUCAUGGGAUAUCACGUUUUGUUUACCCAUUCAUCACUUGAUAAGCAUUUGAUGAAUUAUUUCCACUGUUUGGCUAUUAUGAGUAAUGCAGCUAUGCACAUUAGUGCACAAGUGUCAUGGACAUAUGGACAUAUUUUUAUUUCUUUUGGGUAUGUACUUAUGAGAAUUGCUGGGCCAUAUGGUAACUGUAAGUUUAGCUCUUGAAGAGUGGCCAAACUUCCCCAAAGUUAUUGCACCAUUUUAUAUUGUCAUCAGUAAUAUAUACUUGUUUUAGUUUCUUUGCAUGCUUGCUAACCGUUGCUAUUUUGGGUCAUUUUAUUAGAGCCAUUUCACUUGGUCAAGAUGUGCAAUCCUUUAUAUUUAUUGUGGUAUUUAGUUUGUUAAUAUUACUUAGAAUUUUUAAAAUCUACAUUCUGAAGACUAUAAGCAUUAUUUUUAGAUGUCUGUCUGGCUUUGUUAUCAAGGUAUUAUAGGCUGCACAGCAUGAUUUGGGAAGUAACUUUAUAUAUUCUGGAAUGCAAAUUAUUUGCUAAUAUUUUAUAACAUUCUGUGGCAUGUGUGUAUGUAUUUAUUUUUUGCCACAUCGGGGAUUUAACUCAGGGCUUCGUACUUUCUAGGCUAGGACUGAGAUAUAUUUCAGUUCUUCCCUACUUAAAAAAAUUUUUAUUUUGAUACCCAGUCUUGCUAAGUUGCCAAGGCUGGCUGUAACUUGGAAUUCUCCUGUCUUAUCUUCCUGAAUAGCCAGAUUACAGGCAUACACCAUGGCGCUCAACUCUUUUAAUUUUCUUGAUGAUAUUCUUUUACACUAAAAUCUUUAAUUUUGAUUGUUUUAAAAUUAUAAUUUUUUCAUUUGUUUUCAUACUGUUGGUGUCAUAUCUAGGAAUACGGCCCUAUUCAAAGUCAUGAAGAUCUAUGCCUAAUGUUUUUCUCUAAUAAUUUUAUAGUUUCUGCUUUUAUAUUUAGAUAUGAGUCAUUUGAACUAAUUUUUGUGUGUGGUAUUUGGCAGGUGUACAACUUCAUUCUUUGGCAUAUGCAUAUUCAGUUAUUCCAGAAUUUUGUUAGUACUUGCUGAAAAUCAAUGGACCAUAAUGUAAGGGUUUACAUCUGUGCUCUAACUUCGAUUCUAUUAUAGAGUAAUUGUUUAUUCUUCUGCCAGUACCACACUGUCACAUACUGUAGCUUUGCAGUAAGUUUUAAAUUUAUAAAGUGAAACUUUUUCAACAAUCUUCUUCCUUUUAAAGAUUGUUUUGAAUAAUUUUAAGUUUCCAUAUGAAUUUUCAUAUCAGGUUGUCAUUUUUGCAAAAAAGCCAUCUGCAAUUUUGGUAGACAUUGUUGAAUUUGAAGAUCAUUUGGAGAGUAGUAUUAUUUUCAUAAUAUUGUCUCAAGAACAAAGGUUGCCUUUUUCAGUUAUAGCCCUUUCUCAAUUUCCUUCAUCAAUAGAAUAGUAGUUUUUACAAUAUACAUUUCAAACUUCUAUUUUGCUUAUAUUUCUAAGUAUUUUAUGCUUUCUGAUGCUAAUGUAAAUAAAAUUAUUUUUGAAGUCUCAUUAAUAUUAUAUUUUUCUUGUGUAUAGAAAAAAUUGAUUUUACUAUACCAAUGUUCAAUUUUUUUGAUCAAAUUAAUUCCUAGAGAUUUUAUUGUAUUUAUACUAUUUUAAAUGGAAUUGUUCAUUUAAUUUCAUUUUUAUUUUUCAUUAGUAAUAUAUAGAAAUAAAAUUCAGUUCAUGGAUGUUAUAUUUGCAACUUAGCUGGAGUUACUUUUAGUUUUAGUGGUGUUUAUAGUGAAUUCCUAAAUAUAUACCUGUUCAAGAUCUAGUAUGGAGGUAGCGACUGCUAGUGUAUAUGAAUGUCUGUUUUCCUUUCUCUGCCUGAAUCCAUGUCUAAACUGGGUUUCUCAGGACUUUUACAUUAAAUGAGGUCAUAAGAUUGAAUUAUAAGACCAUGGAAUCUGGAUAGAAGUAAUACACAAUACUGUUAGAUAGGAUCUAGAUUUUUAUAACCAUCCUAUACUACUUCAUUUUCCUUGUCUAUAGUUGAUGAUGAGCAUGCAGAAGAAUUUUCAGGUCUGAAGAAAGUGUAGAUGGCACACACAUUGAAGAUACAGAAUCUAAACUGAAUAAGUAGACUCUUCAGAAGGGAAUUGUGCUCCCUCCAGAUUCACAUAUUGAGGCCCUGCCCUCCAGUGUGACUGUUUUAGGAGAUAGUUCAAGUGAGGUCUAAAGGUGAGGCUCUUGUCUGAUAGGGUUGGUUGCCUAAUAGGAAAAAAAAUGAAUCUCAGGAUAGUUUUAGUUUGCAUUUCUAUAGUUGCUAGAAAUGUUGAACAUUUUUUCAUAUAUUUGUUGGCUGUUUGUAUGUCUUCUGUGAAGUGCCUUUUCAGUUUCUUUACCCAUUUAUUUAUUGGGUUUUUUGGUUUUUUUGGGGGGGAUGUUAAGUUUUUUGAGUUCUUUGUAAGUCUUGGAGAUUAAGGCUCUAUCUGAGGCAUAAGAGGCAAAAAUUUUCUCCCAUUCUGUAGGCUUUCUCUUCACAUUCUGGUUUAUUUCCUUUGCUGUGAAAAAGCUUUUUCGUUUGAACCCAUCCCAUUUAUUGAUUCUUGAUUUUACUUCUUGUGCUAUAGAAAGUCUGUCAAAAUGGCAAUUAUCAAAAAUACAAGUAACAGUAAAUGUUGGUGAGGAUGUGAGGGAAAAAUGUACACUCAUACAUUACUGGUGGGACUGCAAAUUGGUGUAAUUAUCCUGGAAAGCAGUAUGGAGAUUCCUUAGAAAACUUGGAAUGGAACCACAAUUGAACCCAGUUAUCCUACUCCUGGGUUUAUACCCAAAGGACUUAAAAUCAGCAUACUACAGUGAAUCAGCCACAAUUAUAUUUAUAGCAGCUCAAUUCAUAAGCUAUGGAACUAAACCUAAGUGCCCUUCAAUGGAUGAAUGGAUCAAGGAAAUGUGGCAUAUAUACACAAUGGAGUAUUGCUCAGACAUAAAGAAGAAUGAAAUUAUGGCAUUUGCUAGUAAAUGGAUGGAACUGGAGAAUAUCAUGCUAAGUGAAAUAAGCCAAUACCAAAAAACCAAAGGCAGAAUGUUCUCUCUGAUAUGGAGAUGUUAACACAUAAUAAGGGUGGGGGAGGAAAGAAUAGAAAGUCAUUAGAUUGGACAAAGGUGAAUGAAGGAAAGGAAGAGGAGAUGGGAAUAGAAAAGACAGCAGAAUUAGUUGGACAUAACUUUCCUAUGUUCAUAGAUGAAUACAUGACUAGUGAAACUCCACAUCAUGUACAACCUCAAGAAUGGUAUCUUAAUUAGAAUAAAUUAUACUCUAUGUGUAUAUAAUAUGUCAAAAUAUACUAUACAUUCAUGUACAUCUAAAAAGAACUAAUUAAAAAUAAAUUAAUAGCAUCUAUUUCUAUUGCUUAUGACAUACAGUAUAAUUUGAAAAACUACAGAUGGUAUAUAUUCAUUUCUGCCUUUAUUUGGUUAAAAUAGAUUGUUAUUGAGAAUUUAAAGAAAAAUAAUAAGAAAAGUAGAAGGACUUCAAUGUCCAACCCCGAGGGCAUAAAAUGAUGGCAGCCAUCUAUUAGCCAGGAGGAGUAAUCCUACACCAAAAAUUGAAUUUGCCAAACUGGUUUUGGAAAACUAACACCUAGAGCUGUGAGAAAGCCAAGCGACUAUUGAUUAUUGUUUGAGUACUCACACUGCUAAUCUGCUUUAAAAAAGAACAUCAAUGAACACUAUUGUAAAAAACAGAGGCAGUAAAAAUUGGAGUUGUUUGUUAAAGCACUUAACCUGCUGUGAUUAAUAUAACAUAAGACAAUAUGUGGGAAGAUAACGAAUACAGGUUUUCCUAAAAACUGCCAUAGAUGUCAGUAUUUUAACUAUAAAAAGAACCCCUUCAAUGAAGCUAGAGUUUUACCACAGCGUUUAAACAUGCAGAAUAUUAUCAUUUAGUUUCCUGGACCAACUAUAAUAAAAUUAAAUAAUUAUUAUGUUGUCUCAUAAACCUGAGAGGAAAUAAUGAUCUCUCUCUUUUUUUUUUUUUAAUUUAGAAAUUCUUUGAGAAGAAUGUCCUAACCAUAUGAAAGGCUGAACCUGAUUUAGCAACUAUGGGGACAGAAAAGCACAAGUUUUGUUUGUUUUCUAACAGUUGUUAAAACAAGAAAAUCAGAGUGAACUAUGAACAGAAGGAUGUAGUCUAGUAAGUACACUCAUGUUUUGGAAACUGAAACAAAAGCAGAAAAAAAAAAUUGUCUCACGUAUUACACACAAAUUCUUCAAUGUGAAGUCCUUGUCUGCUAAAGAAAGUUUAAACCAUGCUGUCAUUUUGACUUGGCAAAUCUCUUUAUUUUUCAAAUACGAGUAUGUGUUCAACUGUUUAAUUUUGAAAUAUGUAUGACACAUUUGACCCAUAACACAUCUGUCAAGGUCUUCUUCACAUUAACGUUUUGGUAAAGAAAAACUUGGUUAGCUUAUUAGUUACAAUUAGAAAAAAAAAGUCUUAGAGGUUGCACAAAUCCAUGUUUGUUAUAAAACAUUGUACCCCAAAGGUGUCUGUGUCCUAAUCCCAGGACCCAUGAAGAUGUAACCCUGAAAAAAAAGAGAUUUACAGAUGAUAUUAAAUCUAGAGUCUUGAGACGGGGAGAUUUUUCUGACGUGCCUGGGUGGGCCCACUGUAAACACCAGGGUCCUUGUAAGAAGGAGGCAGUGAGUCAAAUCAAGCAGGAGAUGAGACCUGGAAACAGAGGUCCAGGUGAAGCAGCUGUGAACUAGAAGAGCAGUCCACCUCUGGAAGGUGAAAGGAGUGAGCAGCAUGUUGCCCCCACAGUCCUCAGAGAGUCUGUGGGUGGGCCUGCAUCUUGAUUUUAGCCCUGUAUGUUUUCUAGAACUGUUAGCCAAUACAUGAUUUUAAGUCCAGAGACUUAUGAUAAUUUCUCAUAGCAGCAAUAGGAAAUGAACACAAGAAGUUUACUCUUAUUAAAUCACAAAAUAAGUAUAGAGAUGGUUGUUUUUCUCUUGGUGGUCAUUCUUGUCUUAAAACAAUCUCCGUUCCCCUACCUAUUGUACUAUUGAAGCCAGAAUUAGAGAGGAAAUCAGUGUAGAUAGGUAAAUCAAGUCAGGUCGGAUCUAGGAGGCCAAUUUUGAGUGAAUCUGGGAAGUUGGAGACUGUUCCCUGAGGGAUCUUAAUCAAGAACCUGUCUCUGCUCCAACCUGUUGCCAAGAUAACCUCCUCCCUACAGGGAGCUAUAAGGUUGUUAAUAUGUCUUUGGCUACUCCUUCCUGCCCAUCCCACUGAGCAUUCCUGGGCCUAGUCACUGUAUACAGGAAGGAGAAAGAUGAGCCAGAAAAAGCAGGAGAACAAAGGAAGCCUAGGACAUAUGAAAAGGGUAGAACACCUCCCCUCUUGGGAUACCAGGAUACCAGCUAUGGCCCCCUUCUCCCUUGCGGGAGAAGUCUAUGUUACCCCUUUUUAAAUAAGCCCUGCUUUCUAUGCUUGCCUGGGCUUGCUUCUCUAAUGUUCAAACUUCAACAUGUGGGGAAGCGGUAUCACUAUCUCUUGUAAUUUGAUCUUUGCUAUGUCUUUUCUCUACUUUCUGAGAAAUUACCUCAACUUGAUCAUAAGAAUUAUUUAAAACUAGGUUUCCACAUUGUCAAUUAUAUUGUUUUUAAUAAUAUAAGUAUUAAAUUCAUUAGGUUUAAUCUAAGCACAUACAGAAUAGUGAUGUUUAACUGAUCUCAUUAUAAAUAACUAGCAAAAAAUAAAUAAUUCAUUCUUUUUAUAUGAAGAUAAAAUUAAGUAAUAUGUGUAAAGUACUCUGAAAAGAAACUUACAUCUCAGAAUUGGUUGUUUAUUUAAGUUCUUUGCACCUGGGAUUGUAGCAAUAUUGAAAUUUUUCUAGGGAUGGUGAGGCAAAGGUUAAUUGGACACUUUUCUAUCUUUGAAGUGCAAAGUUAUAUGAGAAAAAAUGGCAUUUAAAUUGAUAGUUGCAAGACAUAAUGUAGGGUAUGAAUUUGAAGAACUUACACACACACACACACGGCACAAGCACACAUAUACCCUACCAAAAAUGUUAAUGUCUAAGUCAGCUAGAUUUAAAGUAAGGUUGCUAAUGGUUUGGUUUGGUUUUCAAAAGUUUUUAGCUGAAAACUUUAUUCAGUGAGAUCAGCAUUUAAAUGUAGCUGAAGAAUUUCCAUUUGAGUAAACACUGAACAUAAAACUUACAAUUCAUUAUUCAAUAUCCAGUGUUGUUACUUCAACAUUUGUGGGUAUUUUGAUUUUGCCAAAACAUUAAAGCAUUUUAUUUUCACUAAUUAUGAUUUAAUACAAUUGGCAAACUGUAAAGUGGAGUCUAGUUGAGCCUAUAUAUAAAUUGGGUGACCCUGUUCCACUGAUUCUAAUGAAUGUGCCACUUUAUUCUCUGAAGCACAUGGAUAAACAUUGAAACCUGAUUGCAAAAGUGUCAUCUAGCAGUCACCUCUUGAGAAGAAUUUUAGUUUUGACACAUCCUAUUUUCUCAUGUGGUAUAUAUUACAGAAUUUAAAACUAGCAUUAUUCUGAUUAUUAUGUCUUGUGACCAAGGAAGUAUUUAUAUAACACAAUGUUAAGGUUUUAAUAUAAUAAAAUAACAUUUUAAAGAAGAAAUGUCCUAAAGCAUUUAAAUAAAUCAGAUUUUUCUAUGAUCUUUGCAGAUUUAUCUUAUAUAGAAUUAUUAUUUUUGAUGAAUGAAAUUAAACACAUUUUUAUAAUCACGUGUAAGAUCUAUGUCUUUUCUAUUUUUUCAGAUUAAACUACAGCCAUUAUGAUGUCUGCUACGUGGACAUUAAUUAACAAUAGCAAAUGGCAGAAAUCAGGUUUUAACACAUCAGACCUUUAACUUUCAUAAUAAUGAUAAAAAUGAAGUUGAUAAAAUUAAUAGUUUUUGAAAAUAACAGUUAACAUUUGAUCAUCAUUUUUAAAUUUUCAAAGAAAUUACAUAUCAAUCAUAUCAUUUUCUCUUUACAACUACUCUAAGAGAAAGGAAAGGUGUUAAACUGCUGUUUUAUACAACAGGAAAGUUAAGCAACUUCACAGAUUAUAAACAUGCUAGUUACAGAUUUUGGAAUAGAACUACUUUUGUUUAUUUCAAUAUAUAAAAUAAAUCCAUUAGUCUUUGGCAAAAGUUAGCUCUGAAGAAUGAUGAAGAUGUAACUUUCUAUGCAAGUUAUGGUUCUGUCAUGUUUGUCUCAAAGCAGUAUUCUUAAUUCAUCUCCUUCUGAUUUCAUUGUUCCUGCCACAUCAUAAGAUAUAGUCCUCUUCCAGCUGAGUUCCUCACAACUGAUUCUUCCGUAAGACACCUAGAAUGUUCACAUCAGUUCAGAUUCAAGUAUAUAUUUCCUAUACUGCACAUUUAGCUUUAUAAAAAACUACAAAGCUCUUUUUUCAAAGUGGUGAUAAUACUUUACAUUUUUACCAGCAAUGUGUAAAAACUGAGUGUUUUCAAAUCUUUAAUUAUAGUAUUGUUAAUAUUUUAAAUUUUAACCAUCUUAUAUGUUUGUAGUGUUCUCUGAUUUAUGUUUUGAGUUUUUUAUUUAUUGUUUUUACAUAUAAAUGACAGUGGGGUAUAUUUUGACAUAUUAUACAUUCAUGGGUUGCAACUCAUUACAUUUUGAUCCCAUUCUUGUGGUUGAACAUGAUGUGGAGUUACACUGGUCAUGUAUUUAUAUAUGAAUAUGGGGAAGUAAUGUCCAAUUCAUUCUACUAUCUUUCUUAUUCCCAUCCCCCCUCCCUUCCUUUAUUCCUCUAUGUCUAAUCCAGUGAACUUCUAUUCUUCCCCUCUCUUCCCUCCCCUGUUAUGGGUUACCAUCCACUUAACAGGGAAAACAUUUGACCUCUGUUUUUGGGGGACUGGGUUAUUUUACUUAGCAUGAUAUUCUCCAGUUCCAUCCAUAUACCAGCAAAUACUAUAAUUUCAUUUCACCCAUAAAAAUACUGAAUAUUUCUUCACAUGCUUUUCCCCAAUUGUAUAUUAUCUUAGUGCACAAUCUUUAUAAGCACUUUGUCCAUUUUUUUGCUUUUAUUAUUGAAUUUAAGGACUCUUUAUAUAUUAUAGAUACAAAUUCAUUGCCAGAUACAUAUGACAAAUACUAAAAAUAGUUUAUGCAAGUCUGUGGCUUUUCUUUUCAUUUUGUUAACAAAGAGUAAACAUCUAUAAUUUUGACCAAGUCUAAUUUAUCUUCUUGAUGGUGUUGUCUUCUUUUAUUUGUGUGUGUGUGUGUGUGUGUGUGUGUGUGAGAGAGAGAGAGAGAGAGAGAGAGAGAGAGAGAGAGAGAGAGAGAGAGAGAGAAAGAGUUUUCCCUAAGGAAUUCUUGCUCCAAAAAUUUGUGCAAAAAGAAAAACUUUCAAAUAUUACAAAACAAUUAAAUUGAUGAAUCUUUGAACCUGGGUUUCUUGGUGUAGAUUAAAAGAAAUAAAAAUAUAUGGAUAGUAGUAACUACUUAAUCUGAAAAUAAGUUAAUCCUUUCUUUAUUCUACUCAAGUUAAGCCAUUUUGAUGAACAACUUAUACUGCUAUAAAAAUCUGUGUUAGUUUAUGUAGGCAGUGUUUAUUUUUCUUAGAAAUUGAACUUUCUCUUUUUCUCAUAUGUGUUGAGAAGAAUUUGAAGGAACAAAGAAAUUACAAAAAUCCAAAGAAAAGCAAAUAAAAUGACUGUAGUAAGUGUAAGUCCUUAUCAAGCAAGAAAUACACAUUCUUCUCAAGUGCACAUGAAACAUUUUCUAGGAUAGAUCGUGUUAGCCACAAGAUAAGUUUUAACAAAUUUAAGACUGGAACUAUAUCACAUAUCUCUCUUGACCACAAUGGUGUGAAGUAAGACAUUAAUAAUGGGAGAAAAACUAGAAAAUUCACAUAUACAUAGGAAUUAAAUAGCAUAUUCUUGAACAAUUGAAAAUUCAAAGAUAUCAAAAGGGAGGUAAAGAUAUACCUAGAUAAAACAAAAAUGGAAACACAACAUAGCAAAACCAGUUCUAAAUAAGAAAUUUAUAUUAAUGAACACCUACACUAAGGAAAGGAAAGAUCUCAAACAAUCCAAAUUUACAACUCCAGGACCAAGAAAAAAGAAUGAAAGAGCCCAAAGUGAUUAGAAGAAAGAAAAUUAGGAAGAUCAGACUAAAUAUAAAUUAUAUAAAGAACAGAAAAAUGAUGGAAAUGAUCAAUGAAAGUGAAAAACUUAAGCAAAACUGACAAGUGUUUAACCAAGUAAAAACAAGAAAAGACACAAAGAAAUAAAAUUAGAAAUCUAAGUGGGUACAUGUGAAUAAAACCAUAGAAAUACAAAGCAUCAUGAGACAGCUAUGAGCAAUUAUAUGCCAACCAAUUGAAAGAUCUAGAAAAAUGGGAAAAAAAUCCUGGAAAUAUACAAACCGUCACAACUGAAUAAUAUAGAAAUCUGAACAGAUCAAUCAUGAAACAGGACACUGAACCAGUAAUCAUAAAUCUCCCAAUAAAGCAAAACCCAGGACAAGAAGCCUUCACUAGUGAACUCUACAAAACCUUUAAAGAAUUAGUAUCAAUCCUUUUUAAACUCUUCCAAAGAGUUGAAGUCAUUUUUGGACGCCUUGAUUUACAGAGACAGCUUUGCUUCAGCUACACUCCUUGCUUAUACUGGGCACCAAGAGAAAUCAUGUCUGUAAUACUUGGAGUUCUUUUUUAAUUAAAAAAAGUUAAAUUUUUUAUUUGUUCUAAUUGAUUCCAUGACAGCAGAAUGCAUUUCUAUUUACUGUACACAAAUGGAGCACAACUUUGCAUUUCUCUGGUUGUAUGUGAUGCAGAGCCACACCAUUCAUAUAAUCAUACAUAUACCUAGGGUACUGAUGCCUGUCUCAUUCCACCAUCUUUCCUAUCCCACGCCCCCUUCCUUCCCCUCACUCUCCUCUGUUCAGUUCAGAUUUCCGAUAUUGUUCCCAUGCCCUGCCCCCCCCCCCAUUAUGGAUUAGCUUCCACUUAUCAGAGAAAACAUUUGGUCUUUGGUUUGUUGGAAUUGACUUACUUCACUUAACAUGGUAUUCUCCAACUUCAUCCAUUUACUUGCAAAUGCCAUAAUUUUAUUCUUUUAGUGGUGAGUAAUAUUUCACUGUGUAUAUAUGCCAUGGUUUCUUUAUCUACUCAUCCAUUGAAGGGCAUCUAGGUUGCUUCCACACUUUAGCUAUUGUGAAUUGCGCUAACAUCGAUAUGGCUGCCUCACUGUAGUAUGCCAAUUUAAAGUCCUUUGGGUAUGUACCAAGGAAUGGGAUAAAUGGGUCAAAUGGUGGUUCCAUUCCAAGUUUUCCAAGGAAUCUCCAUACUGCUUUCCAGAGUGGUUGCACCAAUUUGUAAUCCCACCAGAAUUAUAUGAAUGUACCUGUUUUCCCACAUCAUCAACAACACUUAUUGUUGCUUAUAUUCUUGAUAACUGCCAUUUUGACUUGGAGUUCUCAAAGGAAAUUCAGACUUGAUAGGUUAAAACAAAACCCAUUAUCCUGUCUAACUUGCUCAGAUAUGGUCCAUGUGCAGCCCUCCUUUUCUCAAAUAAGACAUAUAUCAUCAAAUUAUGCAAACUAAAAUGCUUAAUAAGUUUUUUCUCUUUUCCCACUAUAUUCAAACUACACCAUUCUCUGCUGACUUAUUGCUCCUAAACCAUGCAUGAUAAAGGAGAUAUAUAUAUGUGUGUGUGUGUGUGUGUGUGUGUGUGUGUGUGUGUGUGUCCUCAAGUUGGUUAAUUUUUUUGUCAUGGUGAAAAGCACAAUUUUUAAUGUAUGAAGAAUGGACAGGCAUAUGGUUCAUAAAGGGAUGUCCUCUUACCUCUGUAUUAAAGUCACACAGAGGAGGGGUUAUUCAAAAUGUCCAAGUGGUGAUUAAAAUGAAGUUGAGAAAUACUGUCUGCAUCAAAAUGCAGAAGUUAUUCUCUAAUAUUUUCUGGUCAAGGUUACUAUUAUUUCAUGUCUUUAAUCUGGUAGUAGUGUUUCCAUCCUAUUUUCCCUUUAUCUGAUCUAAUUGCCUUACAAUCUCCUAAGCACAUGUCAUCAGGGCAGCAUUUCACAUCUGAUCAUCUCACCCACUGUUUUAAAUCUUUCAAGUGCUUCUCAUUUCCCUUAGGGUAUAAGCAGGGACUUAGAUGGCAUUACAGGACUUACAUGGCAUUAUCAUGGUUUUAGUUUUGUUUAUUUCUACAGUGCAUCUCACAUUACAAAGACCCAACAUUCUGCAGUCAGGUCUCUCUUUCCUUCUUCUAGCAUCCUGUCUUUUCUGCACUCUCCAUGCAGCAGUGGAACUAUGUACCUUUCCUCUCCCAUCUUUGCCUUUGAGUUCCUCCCAUCCACCAGAUCUCAGCUGAUCCAGUUCUUCCUCUGAGAAACAUUUCCUGACUUUCAACCUAUGUCAGAUUCUAUGUUAGAACUCUUUGAAAUCAUAUUCCUCCUUCAGAGCAAAUAAUCAGUUUGAGUUUAAAUGCUCAUAUUGGAUUAAUAAUUCCAGUCGUCAUUAGAUUAUAAAUGAGCAAGGUGGUGUCUUUGUUAGUUUACAUCACAUUCCCAGGAGUGAGCACUGUGCUAGACACAUAGUAGGCAUACUCCAAAUAUCCUGAACAAAUGAACAACUAAAUACAUGAAUGCAUCCUGUUGCUGAUCUGUAUUCUUUAAUCCUUUUAAUAUCUUUCUAUUGCGUUUGGAACAAAAUCAUGUUGUUUCAUGUUCUUUCAAUUCUUUCAUGAUCUCAGCUUCUAACUUUGCAAUUUCUCAGCACUCUUCUUCGUGCGUUUUUUUUUUUUUCCUUUUCUUACUUUUGGCUUGGUUGCACCUUAUAUUAUCUUACCUUAGUGCUAUUGCUCAUACUCUCCAUUGCUUAUAAUUCUCCUGAGUCUGUGCCAUAUGAGUAUCUUAUAAUCUUGGCCCUGGUAUUAAGUGACAUUUCUUUAUAACCAUAUUUCAAAAAGUCCAGUAUAUCCUCAUCAUUCUGUUUCUCUUUAAUUUGUUUGUUUCUACAUUUUUUUAUUUGUUUAUUUUUCAGGAAGUGAAUUGGUCUAGUAGGGAACUGGCUACAUGAGUUUGAACACCAGGUAAGAGAUCUGAGAUAUAAUUCCAAAAUGGAAAAAAGAAGUCUCCAUUCCAAAUGAAACUUUGAUUAAGAAUUAUCCACAAAUAAGAAAAAUAAAGAGCUACUCAAGAGAAGAUAAAGCAAAAUAAUACGUUCUUAUAAGAUCCCCUCAAGAGUUCUGCAUAGUGUUCAAACUUAGUGCUCCACCCUAGAACAUGACAGUCACAACAAAGUACCAUCAACCAUUAGAUUAAGUACAUUCCCAAGUUAAAUGUCACUAUGGCGUCUUUUAGGCAUUGCUCAUUCAAU
RNAcentral lists this long non-coding RNA (13137 nucleotides) under Marmota monax (woodchuck). The record is from RNAcentral. Lineage: Eukaryota; Metazoa; Chordata; Mammalia; Rodentia; Sciuridae.